Long non-coding RNA from Helianthus annuus (common sunflower), 361 nucleotides. RefSeq lists it as uncharacterized. The transcript has 3 exons. The record is from RefSeq and is a predicted model, not a curated record. NCBI's taxonomy places the organism in Eukaryota, Viridiplantae, Streptophyta, Magnoliopsida, Asterales, Asteraceae.
AAACGGAGCAAGUACGAAAAGAAAACGUUGCUUGGAUGCGAGGAAUACAUAUCAAAUGGAAAUUUGCAUCGCUAUUAGUUAGCGUUUAUUAAGCAAAGCAUUAAAUGGGUCAAUAUGUUGAUCCGAGCCAGGUACUUUUGGAUGCCGGAAGAUGAUCAAGCUCAACGAGGAACCGAACAUGAUAAAGAUACACGCUUCUACACUUUGCAUCGUCUUUAAUUUUAAACGACGAAUCUGAUCACGUUAUGUUAAAUGACUUAUGAUUUGUAAGAGUUUUAAUAAACCCGUAUUUCCGACGUAUAUGUAAUCUAAAUUACAUGGUUGUUUUUUGUAUAUUUUACGUUAAAACUUGAUUUUUAAG